UGAAGUGGGGUGGGGAGUCAGAUGGGUCAGGAGAGAGACCAUCUUGCAUACAUUUUCUGUCUCUCCUGACCCAUCUGAUUCCCCAUCCCACUACAC
Molecule: non-coding RNA, 96 nt
Organism: Podarcis lilfordi (Lilford's wall lizard)
Lineage: Eukaryota; Metazoa; Chordata; Lepidosauria; Squamata; Lacertidae
Source: the annotation of a GenBank genome assembly